CUAAGAAUCUUGCGCAAUGGGCGAAAGCCUGACGCAGCAAUUCCGCGUGGAGGAUGAAGGCUCUAGGGUCGUAAACUCCUUUUGCGAGGGAAGAAGAUCUGACGGUACCUCGCGAAUAAGACACGGCUAACUACGUGCCAGCAGCCGCGGUAAUACGUAGGUGUCGAGCGUUGUCCGGAUUUAUUGGGCGUAAAGAGCCCGCAGGCGGCUUGUCUAGUCCGAGGUGAAAUCUCCCGGCUCAACUGGGAGGGUGCCUCGGAAACUGGCAGGCUUGAGGCAGGGAGAGGGAUGUGGAAUUCCAGGUGUAGUGGUGAAAUGCGUAGAUAUCUGGAAGAACACCAGUUGCGAAGGCGGUCUCUUGGUCCGACACUGACGCUGAGGCGCGAAAGCGUGGGGAGCAAACA
RNAcentral lists this ribosomal RNA (404 nucleotides) under uncultured bacterium. Its description in RNAcentral is "bacterial SSU rRNA". It matches the Rfam family "Bacterial small subunit ribosomal RNA", at positions 355 to 774 of the family's 1533-position model. The record is from RNAcentral.